RNAcentral lists this ribosomal RNA (774 nucleotides) under uncultured Neocallimastigales. RNAcentral's name for it is "partial large subunit ribosomal RNA". It matches the Rfam family "Eukaryotic large subunit ribosomal RNA", at positions 23 to 616 of the family's 3401-position model. The record is from RNAcentral. Lineage: Eukaryota; Fungi; Neocallimastigomycota; Neocallimastigomycetes; Neocallimastigales.
AGAGAGAGACAUGCGCGCAUAUCAAUAAGCGGAGGAAAAGAAACUAACAAGGAUUCCCCUAGUAACGGCGAGUGAAGCGGGAAGAGCUCAAAUUUGAAAUCUUAAAGGGUUCCCUUUACGAAUUGUAGUUUAAAGAAGUGUUUUCUGUUGAGGUUUUGGUAAAAGUUCUUUGGAAUAGGACAUCAUAGAGGGUGAGAAUCCCGUAUUUGACCUUUACUUUCAACUUUGUGAUACACUUUCAAAGAGUCGGAUUGUUUGGGAAUGCAGUCCAAAAUGGGUGGUAAAUUUCAUCUAAAGCUAAAUAUUGGCGAGAGACCGAUAGCGAACAAGUACCGUGAGGGAAAGAUGAAAAGAACUUUGAAAAGAGAGUUAAACAGUACGUGAAAGUUGUCAAAAGGGAAGCGUUUGACACCAGUGUUGUUUUUCUGAAAAUCAAUUAAAGAACUGUUUAUGCUAAGUUGUUUAGACUUUAUCAGCUAACUGUUUAGUUUUGAGCUUUUCUUUAAUGCACUUUUCAGUCAACAAGUCAACAUCAAUUUCUUUUGCUGUAAAAAAGCUUGAGGAAGGUGGCUUGAGAUUCGUCUUAAGUGUUUAUAGCCUCUUGCCUAUGCAGUCGGAGAGAUUGAGGUCUGCAGCGUAGAUCCUUCGGGGCUAAACGCAUUUGUGCUAAGUUAUAGCAUUUUAUAGACAACUUGUUGACUAUGAUUUGUCUUGUAGCUUACUCGCUUAUGUUAUUUUACCUACGCUUAGGAUGUUGAGCGCAUGUCUCUCUCU